Molecule: ribosomal RNA, 408 nt
Filed under: uncultured bacterium
Lineage: Bacteria
Description: partial 16S ribosomal RNA
Rfam family: Bacterial small subunit ribosomal RNA
Source: RNAcentral
GACGAACGCUGGCGGCGUGCUUAACACAUGCAAGUCGAACGAAGUGGCGAACGGGUGAGUAAUACGUGAGUAACCUGCCCUCCUUUUUGGGAUAAGCCUUGGAAACGGGGUCUAAUACCGGAUAAAGGGGGAUGGGCCCGCGGCCUAGCAGCUUUGUGGUGGGGUGAUGGCCUGCCAAGGCGGUGGCGGGUAGGCGGCCUGAGAGGGUGGACUGAGACAUUUGGAGUGAGAAACAGGCCAGAAUCCGACGGGGAGCAAGAAGUGGGGAUAAUGGAGAAAGGGGGGAAGUCCGAAGCAGCGGAGGCGCGUGGGGGAUGAAGGCUUUCGGGUUGUAAACCUUUUUCGGUAUCGAAAGGGUAGGUGGAGAAGAAGCGCCGGCUAACUACGUGCCAGCAGCCGCGGUAAUUC